UUAAGUUAUUAAGGGCGCACGGUGGAUGCCUUGGCACUAGAAGCCGAUGAAGGACGUUACUAACGACGAUAUGCUUUGGGGAGCUGUAAGUAAGCUUUGAUCCAGAGAUUUCCGAAUGGGGAAACCCAGCAUGAGUUAUGUCAUGUUAUCGAUAUGUGAAUACAUAGCAUAUCAGAAGGCACACCCGGAGAACUGAAACAUCUUAGUACCCGGAGGAAGAGAAAGAAAAUUCGAUUCCCUUAGUAGCGGCGAGCGAAACGGGAAGAGCCCAAACCAACAAGCUUGCUUGUUGGGGUUGUAGGACACUCUAUACGGAGUUACAAAGGACGACAUUAGACGAAUCAUCUGGAAAGAUGAAUCAAAGAAGGUAAUAAUCCUGUAGUCGAAAAUGUUGUCUCUCUUGAGUGGAUCCUGAGUACGACGGAGCACGUGAAAUUCCGUCGGAAUCUGGGAGGACCAUCUCCUAAGGCUAAAUACUCUCUAGUGACCGAUAGUGAACCAGUACCGUGAGGGAAAGGUGAAAAGCACCCCGGAAGGGGAGUGAAAUAGAACCUGAAACCGUGUGCUUACAAGUAGUCAGAGCCCGUUAAUGGGUGAUGGCGUGCCUUUUGUAGAAUGAACCGGCGAGUUACGAUUUGAUGCAAGGUUAAGCAGUAAAUGUGGAGCCGUAGCGAAAGCGAGUCUGAAUAGGGCGUUUAGUAUUUGGUCGUAGACCCGAAACCAGGUGAUCUACCCUUGGUCAGGUUGAAGUUCAGGUAACACUGAAUGGAGGACCGAACCGACUUACGUUGAAAAGUGAGCGGAUGAACUGAGGGUAGCGGAGAAAUUCCAAUCGAACCUGGAGAUAGCUGGUUCUCUCCGAAAUAGCUUUAGGGCUAGCCUCAAGUGAUGAUUAUUGGAGGUAGAGCACUGUUUGGACGAGGGGCCCCUCUCGGGUUACCGAAUUCAGACAAACUCCGAAUGCCAAUUAAUUUAACUUGGGAGUCAGAACAUGGGUGAUAAGGUCCGUGUUCGAAAGGGAAACAGCCCAGACCACCAGCUAAGGUCCCAAAAUAUAUGUUAAGUGGAAAAGGAUGUGGCGUUGCCCAGACAACUAGGAUGUUGGCUUAGAAGCAGCCAUCAUUUAAAGAGUGCGUAAUAGCUCACUAGUCGAGUGACACUGCGCCGAAAAUGUACCGGGGCUAAACAUAUUACCGAAGCUGUGGAUUGUCCUUUGGACAAUGGUAGGAGAGCGUUCUAAGGGCGUUGAAGCAUGAUCGUAAGGACAUGUGGAGCGCUUAGAAGUGAGAAUGCCGGUGUGAGUAGCGAAAGACGGGUGAGAAUCCCGUCCACCGAUUGACUAAGGUUUCCAGAGGAAGGCUCGUCCGCUCUGGGUUAGUCGGGUCCUAAGCUGAGGCCGACAGGCGUAGGCGAUGGAUAACAGGUUGAUAUUCCUGUACCACCUAUAAUCGUUUUAAUCGAUGGGGGGACGCAGUAGGAUAGGCGAAGCGUGCGAUUGGAUUGCACGUCUAAGCAGUAAGGCUGAGUAUUAGGCAAAUCCGGUACUCGUUAAGGCUGAGCUGUGAUGGGGAGAAGACAUUGAGUCUUCGAGUCGUUGAUUUCACACUGCCGAGAAAAGCCUCUAGAUAGAAAAUAGGUGCCCGUACCGCAAACCGACACAGGUAGUCAAGAUGAGAAUUCUAAGGUGAGCGAGCGAACUCUCGUUAAGGAACUCGGCAAAAUGACCCCGUAACUUCGGGAGAAGGGGUGCUCUUUAGGGUUAACGCCCAGAAGAGCCGCAGUGAAUAGGCCCAAGCGACUGUUUAUCAAAAACACAGGUCUCUGCUAAACCGUAAGGUGAUGUAUAGGGGCUGACGCCUGCCCGGUGCUGGAAGGUUAAGAGGAGUGGUUAGCUUCUGCGAAGCUACGAAUCGAAGCCCCAGUAAACGGCGGCCGUAACUAUAACGGUCCUAAGGUAGCGAAAUUCCUUGUCGGGUAAGUUCCGACCCGCACGAAAGGCGUAACGAUUUGGGCACUGUCUCAACGAGAGACUCGGUGAAAUCAUAGUACCUGUGAAGAUGCAGGUUACCCGCGACAGGACGGAAAGACCCCGUGGAGCUUUACUGUAGCCUGAUAUUGAAAUUCGGCACAGCUUGUACAGGAUAGGUAGGAGCCUUUGAAACGUGAGCGCUAGCUUACGUGGAGGCGCUGGUGGGAUACUACCCUAGCUGUGUUGGCUUUCUAACCGGCACCACUUAUCGUGGUGGGAGACAGUGUCAAGCGGGCAGUUUGACUGGGGCGGUCGCCUCCUAAAAGG
Molecule: ribosomal RNA, 2296 nt
Filed under: Staphylococcus aureus
Lineage: Bacteria; Bacillati; Bacillota; Bacilli; Caryophanales; Staphylococcaceae
Description: bacterial LSU rRNA
Rfam family: Bacterial large subunit ribosomal RNA
Source: RNAcentral